GAAAUGCGAAAAGUAAUGUGAAUUGCAGAAUUCAGUGAAUCAUCGAAUCUUUGAACGCACAUUGCGCCCGCUGGUACUCCGGCGGGCACGCCUGUCCGAGCGUCAUUUCAACCCUCAAGCCCUCCUUCGGGAUGGGCCUGGUGUUGGGGCUCGGCCGCCAUCUCCGGCGGCCGUCCCCUAAAUACAGUGGCGGUCACGUCGCGACUCCUUUGCGUAGUAGAAACACCUCGCUCCGGAUAGCAACGCGGUCCACGCCGUAAAACCCCCAAUUUUCAAUGGUUGACCUCGGAUCAGGUGGGAAUACCCGCUGAACUUAA
This 317-nucleotide unclassified non-coding RNA is filed under the name uncultured Hypocreales. Its description in RNAcentral is "sequence contains ITS1". The stretch from base 1 to 105 matches the Rfam family "5.8S ribosomal RNA", at positions 50 to 154 of the family's 154-position model. Lineage: Eukaryota; Fungi; Ascomycota; Sordariomycetes; Hypocreales. The record is from RNAcentral.